AAGAACGUUUCAGUGUCGACGGACGCCAUGGCAACCGUCAUUCGCCUUUCUCUUCGCCUGCCUUACGGUCGUGUUGAAGCGUUGAUGACGAAUGUAAGCUGCAACAUCGAUGUCUUCACGCACGAGUUACUUUAGACAUCAAAGGAAACACCUUAAUGUCAGCAAGUAUAAUUAAGUUUCCAUGUUUUGCGUCUGAAUGCAAUGCGAAGCGUUUUCUUCACAUUCCGUUUUCUCUUCUCAGUGCCUAAGAAAUCCUGCUCGUAAAAAGCAACAACUGCCGGCUCCAACGAUUUCUAGCAUGGAGGGGACUGAAUCAUUCCUUCUUGAAGAACUGCAGGUACCGACAGAAUAAAGGAGCAUACAAGACCUGAUUUUCUCCUGUAGAUGCUUCCUUGAGAUCUAUCAACCGGCGGAAGCUACAUGAAGGCACAAGAAGCAUUGUUCGAGCACAGAGAAGGUUCACUUGU
Ornithodoros turicata is the source of this 467-nucleotide long non-coding RNA. RefSeq lists it as uncharacterized. Lineage: Eukaryota; Metazoa; Arthropoda; Arachnida; Ixodida; Argasidae. The transcript is spliced from 3 exons. The record is from RefSeq and is a predicted model, not a curated record.